UACGUAGGGUCCGAGCGUUGUCCGGAGUUACUGGGCGUAAAGAGUGCGUAGGCGGUUUUCUAAGUUUGGUGUGAAAUCUCCCGGCUCAACUGGGAGGGUGCGCCGAAGACUGGAAGGCUUGAGUAUGGGAGAGGUAAGCGGAAUUCCUGGUGUAGCGGUGAAAUGCGUAGAUAUCAGGAGGAACACCGAUGGCGAAGGCAGGUCUCUGGGCCACUACUGACGCUGAGAAGCGAAAGCAUGGGGAGCGAACAGG
This 253-nucleotide ribosomal RNA is filed under the name uncultured bacterium. RNAcentral describes it as "partial 16S ribosomal RNA". It matches the Rfam family "Bacterial small subunit ribosomal RNA", at positions 524 to 776 of the family's 1533-position model. The record is from RNAcentral.